This 73-nucleotide transfer RNA is filed under the name Paramuricea clavata. It matches the Rfam family "tRNA". Rfam says of the family: Transfer RNA (tRNA) molecules are approximately 80 nucleotides in length. Their secondary structure includes four short double-helical elements and three loops (D, anti-codon, and T loops). The record is from Rfam by way of RNAcentral. Lineage: Eukaryota; Metazoa; Cnidaria; Anthozoa; Malacalcyonacea; Plexauridae.
GCCUCUGUAGCUCAGCUGGUUAAAGCGCUGCACCGGAAUCGCAGGGCCGUAAGUUCAAUUCCUACCAGAGGAC